Molecule: ribosomal RNA, 428 nt
Filed under: uncultured bacterium
Lineage: Bacteria
Description: bacterial SSU rRNA
Rfam family: Bacterial small subunit ribosomal RNA
Source: RNAcentral
UGGGGAAUAUUGGACAAUGGGGGCAACCCUGAUCCAGCCAUGCCGCGUGUGUGAAGAAGGCCUUUUGGUUGUAAAGCGCUUUAAGCAGUGAAGAAGACUCCAUGGUUAAUACCCAUGGGCGAUGACAUUAGCUGCAGAAUAAGCACCGGCUAACUCUGUGCCAGCAGCCGCGGUAAUACAGAGGGCGCAAGCGUUAAUCGGAAUUACUGGGCGUAAAGCGAGCGUAGGUGGCUUGAUAAGUCAGAUGUGAAAGCCCCGGGCUUAACCUGGGAACGGCAUCUGAUACUGUUAGGCUAGAGUAGGUGAGAGGAAGGUAGAAUUCCAGGUGUAGCGGUGAAAUGCGUAGAGAUCUGGAGGAAUACCGAUGGCGAAGGCAGCCUUCUGGCAUCAUACUGACACUGAGGUUCGAAAGCGUGGGUAGCAAACAG